CCCUUAGAUGUCCUGGGCCGCACGCGCGUUACACUGAUGCAUUCAACGAGCUUAUAACCUUGGCCGAGAGGCCUGGGCAAUCUUGUUAACGUGCAUCGUGAUAGGGAUAGAUUAUUGAAAUUAUUAAUCUUGAACGAGGAAUUCCUAGUAAACGCAGAUCAUCAAUCUGCAUUGAUUACGUCCCUGCCCUUUGUACACACCGCCCGUCGCUACUACCGAUUGGAUGGCUUAGUGAGACCCUCGGACCGAUAGGCUGUCGCUGCAGCAAUGUGGCGACUGGCCCGUCUGGGAAGAAGGUCAAACUUGACUGUCUAGAGGAAGUAAAAGUCGUAACA
RNAcentral lists this ribosomal RNA (335 nucleotides) under uncultured eukaryote. RNAcentral's name for it is "partial 18S ribosomal RNA". It matches the Rfam family "Eukaryotic small subunit ribosomal RNA", at positions 1470 to 1796 of the family's 1831-position model. The record is from RNAcentral.